UCGGGCGUAGUGCAGCCUGGUAGCGUACCUGCACGGGGUGCAGGCGGUCGCGAGUUCGAAUCUCGCCGCCCCGG
RNAcentral lists this transfer RNA (74 nucleotides) under Betaproteobacteria bacterium. RNAcentral's name for it is "tRNA-Pro". It matches the Rfam family "tRNA". Rfam says of the family: Transfer RNA (tRNA) molecules are approximately 80 nucleotides in length. Lineage: Bacteria; Pseudomonadati; Pseudomonadota; Betaproteobacteria. The record is from RNAcentral.